Molecule: ribosomal RNA, 476 nt
Filed under: uncultured bacterium
Lineage: Bacteria
Description: partial 16S ribosomal RNA
Rfam family: Bacterial small subunit ribosomal RNA
Source: RNAcentral
UGAACGCUGGCGGCGUGCCUACCACAUGCACGUCGCCCGGAGUCCAGCCUUAGAGACCUUCGGGUCAAAGAGGGGAAGACUGAGUGGCGGACGGGUGAGUAACACGUGGGCAACCUGGCUCAUAGAGGGGGAUAACAGAGAGAAAUUUCUGCUAAUACCGCAUAAGCACACACUGCCGCAUGGCAGAGUGUGAAAAGAGAAUCGCUAUGAGAUGGACCCGCGUCUGAUUAGCCAGUUGGCAGGGUAAGAGCCUACCAAAGCGACGAUCAGUAGCCGAUUUGAGAGGAUGAACGGCCACAUUGGGACUGAGACACGGCCCAAACUCCUACGGGAGGCAGCAGUGGGGGAUAUUGCACAAUGGGGGGAACCCUGAUGCAGCGACGCCGCGUGAGUGAAGAAGUAUUUCGGUAUGUAAAGCUCUAUCAGCAGGGAAGAUAAUGACAGUACCUGAAUAAGAAGCCCCGGCUAACUACGUG